This 299-nucleotide ribosomal RNA is filed under the name uncultured bacterium. Its description in RNAcentral is "partial 16S ribosomal RNA". It matches the Rfam family "Bacterial small subunit ribosomal RNA", at positions 28 to 334 of the family's 1533-position model. The record is from RNAcentral.
GAUUAACGCUGGCGGCGUGCAUAACACAUUCAAGUCGAACGGAAUAUGGAAACAUAUUUAGUGGCGGACGGGUGAGUAACGCGUGAGCAAUCUACCUUCAGGUGAGGGAUAACAACCGGAAACAGUUGCUAAUACCUCAUGAUACAAGAGAGUCGCAUGGCACUCUUGUCAAAGGCUUGCUGCCUGAAGAUGAGCUUGCGUCCGAUUAGGUAGUUGGUGGGGUAACGGCCUACCAAGCCGACGAUCGGUAGCCGGACUGAGAGGUUGAACGGCCACAUUGGAACUGAGAUACGGUCCAG